UCAGUAGAUUACCGAUCACAAUCUCAUCUGCUGUAAAUCGUCUUCACCGGCAGGGGGUGCAAGCGCUACUUUGUCUUAACAAGCAUCAACGAAACCGUCACGAGAGGCCUUCAUAAAACAUCAUUUGACGAAAUGGACCGAGCGGUGAGUACAAGUUAUGAUUUUAUAGGGAGACAAUGAAGUGCUGAGAUCAGCAAGGCACCUUUUGGCACUUUUGACACAAGAGAGAGCUGAUGGGUCUUCUACUAGUCAGGGUAUAAACAGAUCAUCUCAUGUUAGAGGCCAAACUCCGGGGCCAUCUUCUGUCCAAACAGAAAUGACCAGGUAAGUAGAAACUGUAUAUAACAAUCCUCGCCUAUUAUGAACCGUAGGUCUGUUCUGACUUCCAUGUUACAGUUUUUAAAACAGGUCCUUUCCUGGAUUGUUCUCAAAUCGUAGAGGAAAACGACGUUUCACUGGACCAUGUCCUGUGCCCAUAAAACCCAAACCAUUUCAGGUCAUGUUCCAUCUGCUGCCAGCCCAAUGUGAGCGGUCCCCUAGUGCAGUGCUUCUCAAACUGGGGGUCGCGACCCCGAAUGAUUUCAAGGGGUCGCGAGUUGGUUUGAAAAAAUUCUGUAUUUUCUGACUACAAAAAAUAUUUUUCAAUACUAAAAAAAUAAGAUUACAAAUAAAUAUUUUUUUUGGAUUUCUAAAGACAGAACUGAUUAGAGAUUUAAAAAAUAUAUAUAUAUAUAUAUAUAUAAUUUCGUGACUCUAAGAUAACGUCACCCUGCACCGACUGAUCGCUAGUUAUCAAUACUGCACGCAACUGCACGUGGAAACUGCAACGGCAAGAAUGGAUAAAUUUGUAAUUUGCAAGGUUAGAAAUGUUGAGAAAAUUGUGGACAGCCUGAAUCAUCUGAACCGUGUACCUCUACAAAACACAAGAGCUAGACCCGUUCUGACCAAUGUAGGAAACGUCGGAAAUAUCAAGAGGAAUUCAUAAAGUAUGGAUUCACUUGCUCUUCUGUCAACGAUUUGGACCAUUCUCAGUGUGUAAUCUGUUCAGAAGUGCUUGCCCAUGAAAGUAUGAAGCCUGGAAAAACACAGAGACAUUUGGAGACAAGAAACCCUGCUUGUGUUGAAAAACCUAUAGACGUUUUUCGCAGAAAAGAGAAGGAAUUAUACAGAUUCAUAUUUGUGUGAGCAGACUUUUUCAGCUGUUACGUACAUGAAAAAAAAAUACAGAUCACGUCUUGAUGUUGAGGAUGAUCUGCGAGUAGCCGUAUCCAACAUCAGGCCACAGAUUACACUUUUGUGCACCGAAAAACAAGUGCACCCAUCCCACUGUAAGGUAAACCUAAAUACAGUAAAUAUUAUGAAAGUUUGUUUCCGCCACGUCAGAAAAUAUUUGAAAAGAUAAUUUUUUAAAUCUAAAAAUUGCGAGUUUAAAUCUUGCUAUUCUGACUUGGUUUUUCAUAAUUGUGAAAUACAAACUUGCAGUGUGAGUUAUUAAGUUAUAAAUGGUAUAAAAUCGCAAUUACCUUUUUUAUUUUGUUAUUCUGCAAACAAGCUUCCAUAGGAAGUGGAUGUGGAUUUAAAACAAUUUUUUUUUCUGUUUAUUGUUUGUGUAUUCUGUGGUAUUGGGUCGCGAGUUCUCGUCGAUGUUUGUUUAGAGGUCGUUGGCUAAAAAGUUUGAGAACCACUGCCCUAGUGGUCCAGAUCAACUGCUCCAUACACAGGCAGGACUGGGACCAGAACUGCACUCUAGAUGAGAGUAUGACUCAUCAGGAGUUAUGUGAUAAACUCAUGGUGAGGUAACUGGUGGUUGGCUUCUUUAUAAGGCAGCAGGGGGUUGGGGAAGCCGGAAGCCUUCACUUGUGGCACCUGCAGACUGUGGGUACACAGGCAGGCUUAUCAAAACCUCCAAAAUAGGGGAGAAUUCUGUCCUCUAUAUAGCUCCAGUACAAGAUGAGCUCGAUGUCACUCCCUUGCCACCAUCAUCAGAAGCAGUCCGAGAUAUGCCUAAAGCAAUGUGCAAAAAAUACUGUACCCACUUCAGAUCCUCACAAAUCACAUUAAGACUUGUUCUGAUGUUGUUGUGGUCGAAGAUGGAGAUGAAAGUCAGGAUGAAGCUCUGCAUGAUCCACAAGAUGUGGAAAGUGAAAAAAAGAGCAAUGAACAGGCUUGCUGUCCUAUUUGUCAAGAAGAAAUGCCCCUUGACAUCUUGGAAGUUCAUGCCAGUGAAUGUGGGGAAAGAUCUCUGGAUGAUGAAAAUAACAACACAACUGAGUUGUCAUGUAUGGAUAAUGAAGUGAACGACACUGCUGAGUUUUUAUACGUGGAUAAU
Carassius gibelio (silver crucian carp) is the source of this 2329-nucleotide long non-coding RNA. RefSeq lists it as uncharacterized. Lineage: Eukaryota; Metazoa; Chordata; Actinopteri; Cypriniformes; Cyprinidae. The record is from RefSeq and is a predicted model, not a curated record. The transcript has 7 exons.